UUUUGGACAAUGGGCGAAAGCCUGAUCCAGCAAUGCCGCGUGCAGGAUGAAGGCCUUCGGGUUGUAAACUGCUUUUGUACGGAACGAAAAAGCUUGUUUUAAUACCAGGGGCUCAUGACGGUACCGUAAGAAUAAGCACCGGCAAAUUACGUGCCAGCAGCCGCGGUAAUACGUAGGGUGCAAGCGUUAAUGGGAAUUACUGGGCGUAAAGCGUGCGCGGGCGGUUAUGUAAGACAGAGGUGAAAUCCCCGGGCUCAACCUGGGAACUGCAUUUGUGACUGCAAGGCUAGAGUACGGUAGAGGGGGAUGGAAUUCCGCGUGUAGCAGUGAAAUGGGUAGAUUUGCGGAGGAACACCGAUGGGGAAGGCAAUCCCCUGGACCUGUACUGACGCUCAUGCAGGAAAGCGUGGGGAGCAAACAGGAUUAGAUACCCUGGUAGUCCACGCCCUAAACGAUGUC
RNAcentral lists this ribosomal RNA (459 nucleotides) under uncultured bacterium. RNAcentral describes it as "bacterial SSU rRNA". It matches the Rfam family "Bacterial small subunit ribosomal RNA", at positions 362 to 813 of the family's 1533-position model. The record is from RNAcentral.